GAAAUGCGAUACGCAAUGCGAAUUGCAGAAUUCCGCGAGUCAUCAGAUCUUUGAACGCAAUUGGCGCUGGUUUAACCGCCAGCAUGUUUGUUUCAGUGUGUUAGGAAUCACACAUCUCAAUGCGAUUGAGGACCUCUUAGGAGCCUUCUCUCGUUAAACAUGCAGGUGUCGAGCUUUAGCACGACCGAACGAAGUAGUCACUUCUUGAAAGUGAUCUCGUUCGUUGUUGGCGGGCUCACUUAGACACUUGUUAAAAAUUCAACACAGGAGGAAAAUUUCCUUCUUUCCCACAACACCUGAAAUCAAGCAAGAUCACCCGCUGAACUUAA
Molecule: unclassified non-coding RNA, 329 nt
Filed under: uncultured fungus
Lineage: Eukaryota; Fungi
Description: sequence contains ITS1
Rfam family: 5.8S ribosomal RNA (bases 1-101)
Source: RNAcentral